UACGGGGGGGGCAAGCGUUGUUCGGAAUUACUGGGCGUAAAGGGCUCGUAGGUGGCCAACUAAGUCACACGUGAAAUCCCUCGGCUUAACCGGGGAACUGCGUGUGAUACUGGAUGGCUUGAGUUUGGGAGAGGGAUGCGGAAUUCCAGGUGUAGCGGUGAAAUGCGUAGAUAUCUGGAGGAACACCUGCGGCGAAGGCGGGUUGCUGGGCUGAUACUGACGCUGAGGCGCGAAAGCCAGGGGAGCGAACGGG
Molecule: ribosomal RNA, 253 nt
Filed under: uncultured bacterium
Lineage: Bacteria
Description: partial 16S ribosomal RNA
Rfam family: Bacterial small subunit ribosomal RNA
Source: RNAcentral